This 497-nucleotide ribosomal RNA is filed under the name uncultured bacterium. RNAcentral describes it as "partial 16S ribosomal RNA". It matches the Rfam family "Bacterial small subunit ribosomal RNA", at positions 28 to 507 of the family's 1533-position model. The record is from RNAcentral.
GAUGAACGCUGGCGGCGUGCCUAAUACAUGCAAGUCGAGCGAACAGAUGAGGAGCUUGCUCCUCUGACGUUAGCGGCGGACGGGUGAGUAACACGUGGAUAACCUACCUAUAAGACUAGGAUAACUUCGGGAAACCGGAGCUAAUACCGGAUAAUAUAUUGAACCGCAUGGUUCAAUAGUGAAAGACGGUUUUGCUGUCACUUAUAGAUGGAUCCGCGCCGCAUUAGCUAGUUGGUAAGGUAACGGCUUACCAAGGCGACGAUGCGUAGCCGACCUGAGAGGGUGAUCGGCCACACUGGAACUGAGACACGGUCCAGACUCCUACGGGAGGCAGCAGUAGGGAAUCUUCCGCAAUGGGCGAAAGCCUGACGGAGCAACGCCGCGUGAGUGAUGAAGGUCUUCGGAUCGUAAAACUCUGUUAUUAGGGAAGAACAAAUGUGUAAGUAACUAUGCACGUCUUGACGGUACCUAAUCAGAAAGCCACGGCUAACUACGUG